GACGAACGCUGGCGGCGUGCUUAACACAUGCAAGUCGAACGGAAAGGCCCUGCUUUUGUGGGGUGCUCGAGUGGCGAACGGGUGAGUAACACGUGAGUAACCUGCCCUUGACUUUGGGAUAACUUCAGGAAACUGGGGCUAAUACCGGAUAGGAGCUCCUGCUGCAUGGUGGGGGUUGGAAAGUUUCGGCGGUUGGGGAUGGACUCGCGGCUUAUCAGCUUGUUGGUGGGGUAGUGGCUUACCAAGGCUUUGACGGGUAGCCGGCCUGAGAGGGUGACCGGGCAGAAGAGGGCUGAAGAGCGGCAGAGAGAACUACAAGAUGCAGCGGAGGAGAAUAGGGCACAAUAGGCGGGAGAGUGUUAGCGCAACGCGGCGGGCGGGAAGAAGGCGUGGGGGUAGUGGACAGCAAAAGACAAAGAAAAAGCGUGGGUGACGGUAAUAUAGAAGGAAGGAACGGCUAAAUAGAAG
Molecule: ribosomal RNA, 468 nt
Filed under: uncultured bacterium
Lineage: Bacteria
Description: partial 16S ribosomal RNA
Rfam family: Bacterial small subunit ribosomal RNA
Source: RNAcentral